Molecule: ribosomal RNA, 230 nt
Filed under: uncultured bacterium
Lineage: Bacteria
Description: partial 16S ribosomal RNA
Rfam family: Bacterial small subunit ribosomal RNA
Source: RNAcentral
UGGGCAACCUGCCCUCAGCUCUGGGAUAACUCCGGGAAACCGGGGCUAAUACCGGAUAUGACCACUCCUGGCAUCUGGGGUGGUGGAAAGUUCUUCGGCUGAGGAUGGGCCCGCGGCCUAUCAGCUUGUUGGUGGGGUUACGGCCCACCAAGGCGACGACGGGUAGCCGGCCUGAGAGGGCGACCGGCCGCACUGGGACUGAGACACGGCCCAGACUCCUACGGGAGGCA